RNAcentral lists this ribosomal RNA (492 nucleotides) under uncultured bacterium. Its description in RNAcentral is "partial 16S ribosomal RNA". It matches the Rfam family "Bacterial small subunit ribosomal RNA", at positions 29 to 507 of the family's 1533-position model. The record is from RNAcentral.
AGUGAACGCUGGCGGUAGGCCUAACACAUGCAAGUCGAACGGCAGCACAGUAAGAGCUUGCUCUUACGGGUUGCGAGUGGCGGACGUGUGAGGAAUACAUCGUAAUCUACUUUUUCGUGGGGGAUAACGUAGGGAAACUUACGCUAAUACCGCAUACGACCUACGGGUGAAAGCAGGGGAUCUUCGGACCUUGCGCGAUUGAAUGAGCCGAUGUCGGAUUAGCUAGUUGGCGGGGUAAAGGCCCACCAAGGCGGCGAUCCGUAGCUGGUCUGAGAGGAUGAUCAGCCACACUGGAACUGAGACACGGUCAAGACUCCUACGGGAGGCAGCAGUGGGGAAUAUUGGACAAUGGGCGCAAGCCUGAUCCAGCCAUACCGCGUGGGUGAAGAAGGCCUUCGGGUUGUAAAGCCCUUUUGUUGGGAAAGAAAAGCAGCAGGUUAAUACCCCGCUGUUCUGACGGUACCCAAAGAAUAAGCACCGGCUAACUUCGUG